RNAcentral lists this ribosomal RNA (446 nucleotides) under uncultured bacterium. RNAcentral's name for it is "partial 16S ribosomal RNA". It matches the Rfam family "Bacterial small subunit ribosomal RNA", at positions 29 to 523 of the family's 1533-position model. The record is from RNAcentral.
AACGAACGCUGGCGGCAGGCUUAACACAUGCAAGUCGAACGCAUCGCAAGAUGAGUGGCAGACGGGUGAGUAACGCGUGGGAACAUACCCUUUCUAAGGAAUAGCCCUGGGAAAACGGGAUUUAUUCCGGAUAACGCCUACGGGGGAAAGAUUUAUCGGGGAAGGAUUGGCCCGCGUUGGAUUAGCUAGUUGGUGGGGUAAAGGCCUACCAAGGCGACGAUCCAUAGCUGGUCUGAGAGGAUGAUCAGCCACAUUGGGACUGAGACACGGCCCAAACUCCUACGGGAGGCAGCAGUGGGGAAUAUUGGACAAUGGGCGCAAGCCUGAUCCAGCCAUGCCGCGUGAGUGAUGAAGGCCUUAGGGUUGUAAAGCUCUUUCACCGAUGAAGAUAAUGACGGUAGUCGGAGAAGAAGCCCCGGCUAACUUCGUGCCAGCAGCCGCCGUAA